RNAcentral lists this ribosomal RNA (876 nucleotides) under Triticum aestivum (bread wheat). Its description in RNAcentral is "partial small subunit ribosomal RNA". The record is from RNAcentral. Lineage: Eukaryota; Viridiplantae; Streptophyta; Magnoliopsida; Poales; Poaceae.
AUGCAAACUGGGGCAUCACGCCGUGCUCCAAAAAGAAAGAGAGGGCGGUCAACUAUACAAGAAGAAGAAGAAUUUGUUGAGGAUGAUUCAGAAGAAGAUGAGGAAAUGGGAGCAGCGAUAGAUGCUGACGACGAUGAGGAGACAGAUGCGGAUGAAUCAGAGGAGGAGGACAAGGAUGAGGAUGACAAUGAAGAAGAUGCAGAGGAGGAGGAGGAUGAGGAGGAAGAGGAGGAGGAGGAGGAGGAGGAGGAGGACAAACAAGAAGAGGACAAAGGAGAGGAGGAGAACAAGGAAGAAGAUAGUGAUGCAGAGGAGGAGGAAGAAGAAGGUGAGGCCAGAGAGGGGGACGGGGACAAAGGGGCAGCAGUUGAUGGCAGUGAGAGGGGAGAAGACAAAGGCGCAGCAGCUGAUGGCAGUGAGAGGGAAGAAGACGAGGAUGAAGAAGACGAGGAUGAUUAUGGCAUCACAAAGGAGCAAAUGAUGGAGCUACCAGGGAGGCAUUAUUGGGUCUUCAGUGUCAACUUGAGGGACGGACGCUUCGAAGUUCUUGAUUCAAGCAGGACGCUGGACAACAUUGAGCUGAUGAACAACGCCUCUACCAUUGCGGGGGCAGUACGCCAGCUAUGGAGGAAGCAUUACCCAAAGUUUAGCAUCGAGCACUUCCAGAUUAUUGACAUUGACGUACCGAAGCAGCUUGGCAAUAAUGAGUGUGGGUUGUUCGCACUGCUUAACGCCACCGAGUGGAAUGGUAGCCAACUGCCCAACUACAACCCCAAGGAAGUACUCAACAUCAGGAAGAAGCUGACGUAUGAUUGGGUCACCAGCGUGCACAACACCGCCCCAUGGAGGAAGUUGGUGAGAUACGACAAGGAGUAG